Molecule: ribosomal RNA, 433 nt
Filed under: uncultured bacterium
Lineage: Bacteria
Description: bacterial SSU rRNA
Rfam family: Bacterial small subunit ribosomal RNA
Source: RNAcentral
AACGAACGCUGGCGGCAUGCCUAAUACAUGCAAGUCGAACGAUCCUUUCGGGGAUAGUGGCGCACGGGUGCGUAACGCGUGGGAAUCUGCCCUUGGGUUCGGAAUAACUUCGGGAAACUGAAGCUAAUACCGGAUGAUGACGAAAGUCCAAAGAUUUAUCGCCCAGGGAUGAGCCCGCGUAGGGUUAGCUAGUUGGUGGGGUAAAGGCCUACCAAGGCGACGAUCCUUAGCUGGUCUGAGAGGAUGAUCAGCCACACUGGGACUGAGACACGGCCCAGACUCCUACGGGAGGCAGCAGUAGGGAAUAUUGGACAAUGGGCGAAAGCCUGAUCCAGCAAUGCCGCGUGAGUGAUGAAGGCCUUAGGGUUGUAAAGCCCUUUUACCCGAGAUGAUAAUGACAGUAUCGGGAGAAUAAGCUCCGGCUAACUCCGUG